UACGUAGGUCGCAAGCGUUGUCCGGAUUUACUGGGCGUAAAGAGCGCGCAGGCGGCUGGCCAAGUCCGAUGUGAAAUCUCCCGGCUUAACCGGGAAACUGCAUCCGAUACUGGAUGGCUUGAAUCCGGGAGAGGGAUGCAGAAUUCCAGGUGUAGCGGUGAAAUGCGUAGAUAUCUGGAGGAAUACCGGUGGCGAAGGCGGCAUCCUGGACCGGCAUUGACGCUGAUGAGCGAAAGCUAGGGGAGCAAACGGG
This 253-nucleotide ribosomal RNA is filed under the name uncultured bacterium. Its description in RNAcentral is "partial 16S ribosomal RNA". It matches the Rfam family "Bacterial small subunit ribosomal RNA", at positions 524 to 776 of the family's 1533-position model. The record is from RNAcentral.